UUUGGGCGUAAGGGCUCGCAGGCGGUUUCUUAAGUCUGAUGUGAAAGCCCCCGGCUCAACCGGGGAGGGUCAUUGGAAACUGGGGAACUUGAGUGCAGAAGAGGAGAGUGGAAUUCCACGUGUAGCGGUGAAAUGCGUAGAGAUGUGGAGGAACACCAGUGGCGAAGGCGACUCUCUGGUCUGUAACUGACGCUGAGGAGCGAAAGCGUGGGGAGCGAACAGGAUUAGAUACCCUGGUAGUCCACGCCGUAAACGAUGAGUGCUAAGUGUUAGGGGGUUUCCGCCCCUUAGUGCUGCAGCUAACGCAUUAAGCACUCCGCCUGGGGAGUACGGUCGCAAGACUGAAACUCAAAGGAAUUGACGGGGGCCCGCACAAGCGGUGGAGCAUGUGGUUUAAUUCGAAGCAACGCGAAGAACCUUACCAGGUCUUGACAUCCUCUGACAAUCCUAGAGAUAGGACGUCCCCUUCGGGGGCAGAGUGACAGGUGGUGCAUGGUUGUCGUCAGCUCGUGUCGUGAGAUGUUGGGUUAAGUCCCGCAACGAGCGCAACCCUUGAUCUUAGUUGCCAGCAUUCAGUUGGGCACUCUAAGGUGACUGCCGGUGACAAACCGGAGGAAGGUGGGGAUGACGUCAAAUCAUCAUGCCCCUUAUGACCUGGGCUACACACGUGCUACAAUGGACAGAACAAAGGGCAGCGAAACCGCGAGGUUAAGCCAAUCCCACAAAUCUGUUCUCAGUUCGGAUCGCAGUCUGCAACUCGACUGCGUGAAGCUGGAAUCGCUAGUAAUCGCGGAUCAGCAUGCCGCGGUGAAUACGUUCC
Molecule: ribosomal RNA, 820 nt
Filed under: Bacillus subtilis
Lineage: Bacteria; Bacillati; Bacillota; Bacilli; Caryophanales; Bacillaceae
Description: bacterial SSU rRNA
Rfam family: Bacterial small subunit ribosomal RNA
Source: RNAcentral